UACAUUCUCCAGUUCUGCUUUGUGGCUUCUCAGUCACAAACACACCUGACCAAGACAACAAUAACUGCUUUAUAUUUGAGGAAGGAAAAAUGGAGAGAGUAAUACUAAUAUUUUCUCACAGCUGUUGUAUAUAACCAUGCUUCAUACUAUUCUUGCAUCCACACACACACACACACACACACACACACACAAAAAAAAAAAAAAAAAAAAGCAGAAGCCUCUUGCAGUCUCUCAGUGACAGAGAUGAGAAUACUCCCAGGCCACUGAGAAGACCAUCCAUCUUGGCCAUGAACGUGAUUGAUAGGUAGAAUAAUGACAGCAGGAGGACCACUGAGAGAAAGGGCACGUGGAGAGCAGUCUGCAUGAAAACAUGAUAGCUUGCUUGGAGUUCCUGUUGAAUUGUCUGUUAUUGUAAUACCUACCUGGAUUUCCCAACUUGGAGGGACGCUGCUGGGAAGGUGUGCGAUGAUUUUGAGCUAACAGUGCCAUCUAGUGAUGCAAGGGGCACACGGGACUCUGAGCCACAUGGCAGAGCUGCAGUCGUCGGGGGCUUCACAGGGAAGUAAUCACCUAGCAUAAUAUUCAGUAAUGCCCCUGUGGUGCUAGAGUUGCCUGUCGCAGAAUCCACACACGCUCCUGAAACAUCCCUGGAGGAUACAAAUGACCACCUGAGGACUUCUUUAAGCCCGAAGCAUGCAAUGACAAUGCUUGUUGUGAUUUAUUUUAAUGAGAAGUGCUAUCCUGGGAUGACAAAGGACAGUCUUUAUUCAGUGAGUCCUGAGACUGUAUGUGCUGAAAGAUGGAGAAGGAAAGAAAGAAAAUAUGCAGAAUAAAAGAUCACCAAGAGCAAAUGGUGUUCUGGAAGAAAGCUGUUGAUACAGAGAAAUUGAACCAAAUCACAUGUAACAAAAAAUAAAUUGGCAUAAAUUCUGCCUAUAUUAAAUCCCAGGGGGAUUUUUUUUUUCCCAUUUAUUUUAAUGGAACUAGCAUUUCAGAGCAUACUCUGCUGAUGCUGUAAUCACCAAAGAAAUUUCACAGCUAGUGGAAUAUAAUUAAACAGAGUAAAGCAUCACCAGUUAACUAAGACCAUGUGAGAGGACUCUGCAAAGACAGACCUGCAAGCUUCUUUUAGAAGGAAGAGACAGAGCAUAGAGAACAGAGACAGCAGGGUAGAAACCUGCAUCUAGAAGAAGGUGUGAGCAGUAAUGAGGUGAUGGUAAAAAUUCAGCACAUCCCUCACUGAGCUACAAUUCUGUAGGUGGACUGGAAGCUUCUCAGAAUUAGCAAG
Molecule: long non-coding RNA, 1288 nt
Filed under: Gallus gallus (chicken)
Lineage: Eukaryota; Metazoa; Chordata; Aves; Galliformes; Phasianidae
Description: lncRNA (ENSGALG00010010199.1)
Source: RNAcentral